CAAUAGCGUAUAUUAAAGUUGUUGCAGUUAAAAAGCUCGUAGUUGGAUUUGUGGUUGGAGCGACCGGCCCGUCACUCAGUGUCGGUGUUUGUGUCGUCUCCGUCCAUCCUUGGGUGGAAGCAGCGUGGCAUUGAGUUGUCGUGCUGGGGAUACCCAUCGUUUACUGUGAAAAAAUUAGAGUGUUCAAAGCAGGCUUACGCCGUUGAAUAUAUUAGCAUGGAAUAAUAAGAUAGGACCUGGGUACUAUUUUGUUGGUUUGCGCACCCUGGUAAUGAUUAAUAGGGACAGUUGGGGGUAUUCGUAUUCCAUUGUCAGAGGUGAAAUUCUUGGAUUUCUGGAAGACGAACUAAUGCGAAAGCAUUUACCAAGGAUGUUUUCAUUA
RNAcentral lists this ribosomal RNA (382 nucleotides) under uncultured eukaryote. RNAcentral describes it as "partial 18S ribosomal RNA". It matches the Rfam family "Eukaryotic small subunit ribosomal RNA", at positions 592 to 975 of the family's 1831-position model. The record is from RNAcentral.